UGUGGAAGCAUCCAGUGCCAAUAUAGAGAGUCCCUCCCCAACUAUCCAAGCCAGGGUGGUCCACCUUAAAAGACAUUCAAAAUGGUUUUAUUAUUAGGUCCUUGUAAGACAUUCAAAAUGGUUUUAUUAUUAGGUCCUUGUAAGACAUUCAAAAUGGUUUUAUUAUUAGGUCCUUGUAAGACAUUCAAAAUGGUUUUAUUAUUAGGUCCUUGUGCGAUUUAAUAUCAAAAUUCACACUAACUACUUGAUUGGUAUUAUACUCCAAACUGGAUAUUGCCGCGAUCUCUGUUGACUCCAAGGAUGUGUUUGUGGAACUUUGUACAAGACUAGAGAAACAUAACUGAAACCUCGAUUGUGGUGAGCCUUUGCUAGUACUAACCUG
RNAcentral lists this long non-coding RNA (382 nucleotides) under Phoenix dactylifera (date palm). Its description in RNAcentral is "long non-coding RNA (PDAC_LNC004622)". Lineage: Eukaryota; Viridiplantae; Streptophyta; Magnoliopsida; Arecales; Arecaceae. The record is from RNAcentral.